CAACAGGUCUGUUAAGAACCUAACCACUCAACACUCAGAUACUUAUUUGUCUGAAAAUACCUCAUGCCAGUAUUGGAACCUGGAGAGGGCACGAGUGCGUGCAUGCGUGCAUGUAUGUGCGCCUGUGUAGGCACAUGACUUAUCUCGACGAUUUAGUGAUCCAUCCUAAGUUGCUUUCCUGCCUGACUGCUCUGUGGAUGUUGAAAGGUGUCGCUUGUCUUCAACAAAAGCAUUCAGGACUGGGCCAACCAUGCACUUCUGUAGAUGGUGUCAGGAAAGGCGCAGACUUGAGCUGCCCAGGCUCAGGGGUCAGCACACAGUUUGGCUUCAGGACAGUUUCUUCUUUCUCUUCUAGGUGAAGAACUGUGCCCAGUUCGUGACUGGAUCUCAGGCUAGGGUCCGGGAAUAUGAGAAGCAGCUGGAGAAAAUAAAGAACAUGAUUCC
Molecule: long non-coding RNA, 444 nt
Filed under: Rattus norvegicus (Norway rat)
Lineage: Eukaryota; Metazoa; Chordata; Mammalia; Rodentia; Muridae
Description: long non-coding RNA NONRATT005079
Source: RNAcentral